This 127-nucleotide small RNA is filed under the name Marmota monax (woodchuck). The record is from RNAcentral. Lineage: Eukaryota; Metazoa; Chordata; Mammalia; Rodentia; Sciuridae.
GCUGGGUGCUGUGGCUCAUGCCUGUAAUCCCAGUGGCUUGGGAGGCUGAGGCAGGAGGAUCGUGAGUUCAAAGCCAGCCUCAGCAACUUGGCAAAGCUCUAAGCAACUCAGUGAGACCCUGUCUCUA